This 248-nucleotide ribosomal RNA is filed under the name uncultured bacterium. RNAcentral's name for it is "partial 16S ribosomal RNA". It matches the Rfam family "Bacterial small subunit ribosomal RNA", at positions 523 to 769 of the family's 1533-position model. The record is from RNAcentral.
AUACGGAGGGUGCGAGUGUUAUUCGGAAUUACUGGGCGUAAAGAGCACGUAGGCGGAUAGACAAGUCAGAUGUGAAAGCCCGGAGCUUAACUCCGGAACUGCAUUUGAUACUGCCUGUCUUGAGUGUGGUAGGAGGGGGGUGGAAUUCCCGGUGUAGAGGUGAAAUUCGUAGAUAUCGGGAGGAACACCAGAGGCGAAGGCGACCCCCUGGGCCAUAACUGACGCUGAGGUGCGAAAGCGUGGGGAGC